Molecule: small nucleolar RNA, 170 nt
Filed under: Dipodomys ordii (Ord's kangaroo rat)
Lineage: Eukaryota; Metazoa; Chordata; Mammalia; Rodentia; Heteromyidae
Description: Small nucleolar RNA SNORA42/SNORA80 family
Rfam family: Small nucleolar RNA SNORA42/SNORA80 family
About the family: The members of this family belong to the H/ACA class of snoRNAs that guide the sites of modification of uridines to pseudouridines. Human ACA42 (SNORA42) was cloned from HeLa cells by immunoprecipitation with anti-GAR1 antibody.
Source: Rfam by way of RNAcentral
GGAGGAUGAGGAUCUGAGGAACAAGGUAUAAAGCCAACCAGGCAGCCAAAUCUGUGAGACCAAGAAAUAGCACCCAUUUCAUAGUGUCCCAUGCCAGAGCAAACUGUGGUCCCGAACCAUUGCCUGGCCUCGAUCUGUGGGCUACAGGCACUGAAGGGGAUUGUACAGAG